GACGAACGCUGGCGGCGUGCUUAACACAUGCAAGUCGAACGGACAGGCCCUGCUUUUGUGGGGUUCUUGAGUGGCGAACGCGUGAGUGACACGCGUGUAUACUGCCCCUGACUUUGGGAUAACUUCAGGGAACUGGGGCUAAUACCGCAUAGGAGCUUUUGCUGCACGGUGUUCGUUGGAAAGUUUCGGCGGUGGGGGAUCGACUCGAGGCGUAUCAGCUUGUUGGGGGGGUAGUGGCUUACCAAGGCUUCGACGGAUAGCCGGCCUGAGAGGGUGAACGGCCACACUAGAACUGAGACACGGUCCAGACGCCUGCGGGAGGCAGCAGUAGGGAAUCUUCCGCAAUGGGCGAAAGCCUGACGGAGCAGCGCCGCGUGAGUGAUGAAGGUCUUCGGAUCGUAAAACUCUGUUAUGAGGGAAGAACAUAUGUGUAAGUAACUGUGCACAUCUUGACGGUACCUAAUCAGAAAGCCACGGCUAACUACGUG
RNAcentral lists this ribosomal RNA (488 nucleotides) under uncultured bacterium. RNAcentral's name for it is "partial 16S ribosomal RNA". It matches the Rfam family "Bacterial small subunit ribosomal RNA", at positions 28 to 507 of the family's 1533-position model. The record is from RNAcentral.